This 937-nucleotide ribosomal RNA is filed under the name uncultured bacterium. RNAcentral's name for it is "bacterial SSU rRNA". It matches the Rfam family "Archaeal small subunit ribosomal RNA", at positions 511 to 1448 of the family's 1478-position model. The record is from RNAcentral.
UAAAGCAUCCGUAGCCGGCUGUGUAAGUUUUCGGUUAAAUCUGUGCGCUUAACGUACAGGCUGCCGGAAAUACUGUACAGCUAGGAAGUGGGAGAGGUAGACGGUACUCGGUAGGAAGGGGUAAAAUCCUUUGAUCUAUUGAUGACCACCUGUGGCGAAGGCGGUCUACCAGAACACGUUCGACGGUGAGGGAUGAAAGCUGGGGGAGCAAACCGGAUUAGAUACCCGGGUAGUCCCAGCUGUAAACUAUGCAAACUCAGUGAUGCAUUGGCUUGUGGCCAAUGCAGUGCUGCAGGGAAGCCGUUAAGUUUGCCGCCUGGGAAGUACGUACGCAAGUAUGAAACUUAAAGGAAUUGGCGGGGGAGCACCACAAGGGGUGAAGCCUGCGGUUCAAUUGGGGUCAACGCCAGAAAUCUUACCCGGAGAGACAGCAGAAUGAAGGUCAAGCUGAAGACUUUACCAGACAAGCUGAGAGGUGGUGCAUGGCCGUCGCCAGCUCGUGCCGUGAGAUGUCCUGUUAAGUCAGGUAACGAGCGAGAUCCCUGCCUCUAGUUGCCACCAUUACUCUCAGGAGUAGUGGGGCGAAUUAGCGGGACCGCCGCAGUUAAUGUGGAGGAAGGAAGGGGCCACGGCAGGUCAGUAUGCCCCGAAACUCUGGGGCCACACGCGGGCUGCAAUGGUAAUGACAAUGGGUUCCGAAUCCGAAAGGAGGAGGUAAUCCUCAAACAUUACCACAGUUAUGACUGAGGGCUGCAACUCGCCCUCACGAAUAUGGAAUCCCUAGUAACUGCGUGUCAUUAUCGCGCGGUGAAUACGUCCCUGCUCCUUGCACACACCGCCCGUCGUUUCAUUGAAGUGUGCCUUUAGCGAGGUGACGUCUGAUUGGCGUUAUCGAACUUGAGGUACGUGACAAGGGAAAAGUCGUAACAAGGGUAAC